CCAGUUUAUUUUCCCUCUCAGGGCUGGAACGCAAUGUUACAGCCCACCUUAUAAAUUACUAAAACCCGAGUUAUUCCAGAUUGACGACUUGACACAGAUAUUCAGCAGACAACCUAAAUAAGGGACUCCCACUCUCCGAACCAGUAGAGAUCCAAUCACUGCCUCCAGGUUACCCCUUCAUCCGGUAUUAGCAGUUCCUCCACCACCACCAGGUUGAUCAAGAUUAGUAAACUCAAGGAAGAUGAUACCAGAUCAGUCCCGAACUUCGCCUCAACAUCAUACCCUGCCUAGUGUCGAUAAAGAGGAUUCACAAACAAACGAGAUUCAUUUACAAAUAUUUAUUAUCACUUUCUACAA
Long non-coding RNA from Bolinopsis microptera, 357 nucleotides. RefSeq lists it as uncharacterized. The record is from RefSeq and is a predicted model, not a curated record. NCBI's taxonomy places the organism in Eukaryota, Metazoa, Ctenophora, Tentaculata, Lobata, Bolinopsidae. The transcript is spliced from 2 exons.